This 406-nucleotide long non-coding RNA is filed under the name Anas platyrhynchos platyrhynchos (common mallard). RNAcentral's name for it is "lncRNA (ENSAPLG00000021522.1)". Lineage: Eukaryota; Metazoa; Chordata; Aves; Anseriformes; Anatidae. The record is from RNAcentral.
CUGAAGAUUUAAAUAUCAGAUUAAUGUUCUCAUAGGCUGUAAAUAACUACUGGAUUUCUCCUUCUCCAGAUAGAUGACUAUACACCAUAGACGACUUUACAAAUUAUGGACAUAUUGCAUGGUGGAUGACUUGUGAUUUUCAAGAAGAGAAAUCCAAACUGUGAUUUCUACAAGGCCCCAGUAAAAAGUCAUGAUCUCCAAGAGCUGGAACAGUCUGCAAUGGAGAGUGAUUUUCCUCAGGAGUGAUGUGAGGAAAGCGAACUCCACAAUCAGUAAGAUUGUAAAGUAAGUAUGUUUAUUCAGUGCUGGGUGGCAUGGGGGAUAGUCCCACCAAAGUCAUGUGAACCCCAAUGCGGCACUUGCCUUGGUUAUAUGUGGUGAAGAGCUACAUAUGCAUGAAGUUUCU